UUCUUAUUGUGAGCAGGUGGAGGGAACUAGCCCGAUGAAGCCCGGCAACCGACUGUAAUACCAUUGUAAAAUGGGGCGAAUAUGUUCGCCGGAUGAAAAAUCCGCAAGGCACGGUGCUAAUUCUUGCAGCUUUUUGCUGAAAGAUAAGAA
RNAcentral lists this non-coding RNA (150 nucleotides) under Bacillus sp. (in: firmicutes). RNAcentral describes it as "Bacillus sp. SAM-I sequence". It matches the Rfam family "SAM riboswitch aptamer (S box leader)". From Rfam's summary of the family: The SAM riboswitch is found upstream of a number of genes which code for proteins involved in methionine or cysteine biosynthesis in Gram-positive bacteria. Lineage: Bacteria; Bacillati; Bacillota; Bacilli; Caryophanales; Bacillaceae. RNAcentral also lists the same sequence under 1 other name. The record is from RNAcentral.